UACAGAGGGUGCAAGCGUUAAUCGGAAUUACUGGGCGUAAAGCGUGCGUAGGUGGUUUGUUAAGUCAGGCGUGAAAUCCUCGGGCUCAACCUGGGAACUGCGUUUGAUACUGGCGAACUCGAGUGUGGUAGAGGAUAGUGGAAUUCCCGGUGUAGCGGUGAAAUGCGUAGAUAUCGGGAGGAACAUCAGUGGCGAAGGCGGCUAUCUGGACUAACACUGACACUGAGGCACGAAAGCGUGGGUAGCAAACAGG
RNAcentral lists this ribosomal RNA (253 nucleotides) under uncultured bacterium. RNAcentral's name for it is "partial 16S ribosomal RNA". It matches the Rfam family "Bacterial small subunit ribosomal RNA", at positions 524 to 776 of the family's 1533-position model. The record is from RNAcentral. RNAcentral also lists the same sequence under 1 other name.